This 734-nucleotide long non-coding RNA is filed under the name Homo sapiens (human). RNAcentral describes it as "HSALNT0366859". The record is from RNAcentral. Lineage: Eukaryota; Metazoa; Chordata; Mammalia; Primates; Hominidae.
AAAAAAAAAGACAAUUUAUUGAUAAAACGUAAGUAAACACAUGGGUUAUGGGCUCAAAGAUCUAAGUUCAAAUCUGAGCUCUACUACUUAUUAACUGUGUGACUCAAUAAACAAGCCACUUAGCUUUGAAACUGAAUUUUAACAAUGUUCCAAAAGGAGAAAUAAGGUAUAGCAUCUCACUACAAAUCCUCCAUCUCAAAACAUGGGGCCUGGAGUGGCCCCCCAAGACCCUACCCCUAAAACAAACUGGCUGUGGAUAUGGUGACAGAUUAGAAAGUUAAACCCUUCACCUCCAUGAAAGAAUCUGGAAUGGAGCAAACCCAUCAUUUACCUAAGAAGGCAGAAGGUGAGACAGUCCCAUUGCUGCGUGACACCAUGACACUGAUGCCUGUCUCUAUGAAGGGCACAGAGAAGUCGACCACCUCCGAUCGUUCCUCAUUGAUGAUGGCUACAGAGGAGUUUGAUGACUUGCCCAAGCUCCCACGGUAAGUGACUUGAAGCUGAGCAGUCUGACUCCAGAGCUUGGACUCCUACCCACCACUCUGCACUGCUUCUCUGACAAUGAAGGAGUAAGACAUGUUCCUUUUCCUCCAAGGACAGUCUAGAGGGAAAAGACACUAUCCAUCGACAAUAAUAGGCUUUGGUAAUUACUCUAAUAUCCACUAUCCAUUGACAAGUUAGGCUUUGGUAAUUACUGUAAUAAAAGAUAUAAAUAAAGUACUCCGGCAUUCAGA